ACUCCAGUCCCGCCCGCGCGCCUCAUUGGCCAGACCUCCCUCCGUCCCGCGGCCUCCUCCCUCUUCCCGGAGCUCUCCGCCGAACUGUGGCCGCUGGGGGAGGGCGGGGGGAGUGGAGUAGGAGUCUAAUGGUGCUUACGCUCCGCUUGGGUCUCGCCUUACCCCUCUGAUGUAGGAAAUGGAGAAGGUCUAGUCCCAGAUAGGAGAGCGUAUGGAUCCUUCCUUUCGGGAAACCAGAAAGGUUGAGAGAUGGAUGCAGAUCCUACAGCCAGAAAUGGAACAACUAUUUUAUAACUCCAGGUCUAGAACUUGGCAGUCGUUAACGCCAGACGCCCUCACAAGUGCAGGGAGAAAAUGUUAAGACUUGCCCUGAUCCCUUUGAUCUCUUUACCCAACACGGACAAUGUACACUCAGCUUGUAGAUGUUACCAGAAUAUGGAACAGAUAAUUGGCAGUAAAGGCACAAUCCCCCCCCCCUUUUUUUUUCCCCAGUGUGCCUAUUUUGUGUUUCCACAAUGUUAACCUCACCACUGUCAUUCUUGGAAGUAACCUUGCGCGGUGGGUGUUAUAGAUGUGGCUGGGGCAGCUAAGAAGUUUCAAAGCUGUUAGGGUUGUACCUGCAGUGAUAGAAAACUGAAGGGACAAAGAUGACCCUCAUGACCUUUGUGGAUCUCUGCCCCCAGAUCCUCCGUGCUUGCUCGAUUAAAUCCAUUCCCACAAGAAAUGCGAGAGAGAAGUUUCUGUGGGUCAACUCCAGCAGAGUGAGCGCUAUCGUUCAUACCACAGCCGUAUCCAGAUGCUCUGGUAGACCAUACUCUGUUUUUAUUUCUUUAUUUUUUAAGAUUCAUUUUAUUGGAGCUGGCGCUGUGGGCAGUGGGUUAAAGCCCCGGCCUGCAGCACCAGCAUCCCAUAAUGGGCGCUGGUUCAAGUCCCAGCUGCUCUACUCCUGAUCCAGCUCUCUGCUAUGGCCUGGAAAGCAGCGGAAGAUGGCCCAAGUCCUUGGGGCCCUGCACCCGCGUGGGAGACCCAGAAGAGGUUCCUGGCUCCUGGCUUUGGAUCAGCUCAGCUCUGGCCGUUGCGGCCAUUUGAGACAGAAUAGUUACAAGGAGCAGUGGCUAAAGUCUCUGACUUGCCAUCGGGGCCUCACCUCCAGAUUGAGACACCCUCAGCCGCUGGGAAUGUACCUAGAGACAACCCUAGAACAACCAUCUGGAAGCAUCGAGAAGGAGAGCUGCCUGGCAAGCUAAAUGCAAGGUGCACUGGCAGGGAGUUGGAUCGGAAGUAGAGCAGCUGGGACUCAAACCAGUGCUCAUGUGUGGAGCCAGCACUGCCGUCAGUGGCUUAACCCACUAUGCCACAGCACCGGCUUCAAGAGUUACUUUAUAAAGGCUACAAAUCAGAGUGUCUGUGCCCUUGCUUCUUUGAAUUAGAACAAUGGCCCUCCCGCAAAUCCAGCAUCCUCUCCAACAAGGAAACUAAGCUGAUCUUCAGUCUGGAGUUUUUACUGGGGUUUCAUUAAACAGUCACAUUUGGCUGAAUUGGCUCCAUGACUGAACUCAAUUCUCACCCCUCUCUCCUCCUGGGGUGUUAGGAGGUUGGACUGAUACCAUGUGGUUCAACAUCCUUUAAUCUCCUGAUUGGUCUUUCAGACAUGGCCAGUUUCCAUUCCUUCCAUUCCUGAGUCAUCACAUUAGCAUGGAGUCAGAUGCAGUCCAAGGACCCCAAAUAAAUAAAAAAGACACACCUAUCACUUGGGAAAUCUCAGGGACUUAGAAGUUACCUCCCCAAAACAAGAGAUAAAAAGAGUCAAAUUCUUAAAAAAAAAAGAUUUAUUUAUUUUACUUGAAAGAAUUAAAGAAUUACAGAGAGAGAGAAGGAGAGGCAGAGAGAGAGAGUCUUCCAUCCGCUGGUUCACUCCCCUCCCCAACUAGCCACAACGGCCAGAGCUGUGCCUAUCCGAAGCCAGGAGCCAGGAGCUUCUUCCAGGUAUCCCACGUGGAUGCAGGGGCCCAAGGACUUGGGCCAUCUUCUACUGCUUUCCCAGGCCAUAGCAGAGAGCUGGAUCAGAAGUGGAGCAACUAGGACUUGAACCGGCGACCAUAUGGGAUGCUGGCACUGCAGGUGGCGGCUUUACCCACUAUGCCACAGUGCUGGCCCCGUCAAAUUCUUUAUUUCACAAUAACACUAGUCAAGUUUUCCCUGUCUGAUUCUACUUUCUUUUUUCCUUUUAAUUUAAUUUAUUUAUUUGACAAACAGAGAGGGGAAAAGACAGACAGACAGACAGACAGAGAGGGCUCCCAUCUGUUAGUUCACUCUCCCAAAUGCCUGCAAAGACUGGGGCUAGACCAAGGCCAAAGCUAGAAGCCAAGGACACCAUCAAGGUGGGAAACUAUCACCAACAUGGAUGGCAGGAACCCACUGCCGUAACCACUGCCUCCCAGGGUGUGCGUUUGCAGGAAGCUGGGAUCGGGAGCUGGAUCUUGGAAUUGAAUGCAGGCACUCUGAAGUGGGAUAUGGAUGCUUCAACUACUAGUUCCCUGCUAAUGCACCUGGGAAAACAGCAGACAAUGACCCAAGUCCGUAGCCCCUACACCCAUAUGGGAAACCUGGAGGAAGCUUCUGGCUCCUGGCUUCAGCAUGGCACAGCCCUGGCCUUUGAGGCCAUUUGGGGAGUGAACCAGCAGAUGGAAGACUCUCUUUCUCUCUCUCUCUCUCUCUCUCUCUCUCUCUCUCUCUCUUUGCCUCUGUCUCUCCCUCUCUGUAACUCCACCUUUUAAGUAAAUAAAUAAAUAAAUCUUAAAAAAGAAUGCAGGCACUAGGGAACCCCUUGGGUCAUUGGAUCUGCUUUCAAGCAAGGAGCUAAAGGCACUCAUAGGCUUAUGUCCUUGCUCAUCCACUCCUGAUCUCAUUUUCAUCUCUUGCUUUUCCACUGAUGUGGAUCCUCAGUGUGCUCCCUACUAAACUUCCGGAAUACAAAUCCUUGCCCCAAAGUCUACUUUUCAUAGAACCUGACCUAAAGGAUUUGGUGCCAGGAAUGACCUAAGAAAGCAGAUAUCAUGACUGGAUUUUGGAGCUGGCCACCCUUUGGUAGGUGCAGAGAAUCAGUGUGGACAUUAGAACAUAGCUUCUCAGGGAAGUAGAAAUCAGAGCAAUUGUUGAAACUCUCACCGUAGUGUACUGAAGAAAAACAUGCAGUACAGAGUGAAAGAGUGCACUGAUCUCAGGCCAGGGAAAAUGAUAAACACACACACACAGUGGAAUUUGAUGGCUGUUGCUAAGUGGUACUUUGGAAAGUGAUAAUGAAAUGCUGAAGAGUGAUUAAUCUGUGACACAAAGUUAAAGGUGAGAACCAGAGGUCCUUCAAGAGAGCAUAUAAAACAGUUCUCACCCCCUGCAGUGGAAAGACAGAGAAAGCUGAGGGCCCAUCCCAGGACUUAACAUAAAAGUGGCAGAACACCGAAUGGAAACUUCCAAGGACUAAACUCUCCACUUGGGCAGGUGUGAUAUGUCAAAGUUGGCACCCUGGUUGGAAAAGAGGGGGACCCUGGCAUGUGAGAUGGGGUUGUUUGAUUGAUGUACCUGAAAAUUCUGGAAUCUCGGUCUUCCUCACCUGCUAGGCCUGCAAAUGUCCCACUCCUCCUGAUAUUGAGCUAGUGCUCCUCCCUGUGAGAUCAUGCAGAGGUCUCCUGUCUAUAGAAUAAUAUUCAUCUCUCCCCUGAUGGCUUCUGGGCAAUAAUUAGGAUCAAUUCACAACAGAUGAUAUUCAGAGGACAUCAUAGGACUACAACCCUAUCCCAAAAAAGCUAUAGGACCCAGCCAAUAGGUGCCAGCACCAGCCAGAGAGUAUGCAUGGGACUGAAUCUUCCCCAAUCUGUGGACUAGGGAGGAAGAAAGUGUUCUCCAGUGGAAUGUAAAACUACACAAGGGAGAAUAUCCAUUUGGGAAAACUCCUCCAGGAUACAGCAUUUGACAUUUAUGCAAGGGCCCCAGAUGAUGGUGUGAGCACACUUAAAUUGUUAUCUGGAAGCAAGGAUAAAUCAACAGCCUACCAUACAUGAAGUUAAAUAGAAAUGCAAGAAUGGCUAUGGGUGACAGUGUGAAAAAAGACUUUGCCACAUGAAGAAGUAACUAUACUGAAUUGAAAGUACUUACAGAAAACUGAAAAGACCAAAAGAUGGAUGUAUUUCCCAUAUAAAUUCAGAGGAUACACUAAUGAUCGAUCACUCAUUAGAGGAAUUAUCUGGCGAGAGAGGCGCUGACAUGACUUGGAAUUCUAGGGGUGGCUCUCCCCGCAAUCCAGGUGUGAAGGUAGAAGAUGCCAGUGCAGAACUGGGCUCACUGGGAGCAGCAGGGAUGAGAGUACCUUGUCCCAUGGAAGUCACAUGGUGGCAUUCAAACAAUGAAAGUCAAGCGACUACUAUGACGUAAGAGUGGCAGUCAUAGAAGUCAUGGAGAUGGGAAGUAGAAUGAGGCAUCUAGAGAAAAUAGAUGAGCAGACUUCAAUCCGAACAACCAAAAUGAUCAGGACACUGAGGCAGUUUCCCUGAUAAAAAGCCACAAUCACGCGCUGCGGCUCACUAGGCUAAUCCUCCGCAUUGCAGCGCCGGCACACCGGGUUCUAGUCCCGGUGGGGGCGCUGGAUUCUGUCCCGGUUGCCCCUCUUCCAGGCCAGCCCUCUGCUGUGGCCCGGGAGUGCAGUGGAGGAUGGCCCAAGUACUUGGGCCCUGCACCCCAUGGGAGACCAGGAUAAGUGCCUGGCUCCUGCCAUCGGAUCAGCGCGGUGCGCCGGCCGCAGCGUGCUGGCCACAGCGGCCAUUGGAGGGUGAACCAACGGCAAAGGAAGACCUUUCUCUCUGUCUCUCUCUCUCACUGUCCACUCUGCCUGUCAAAAAAAUAAAUAAAUUAAAAAAAAAAAAAGCCACAAUCACUUGCCUACGUUGUAGACUUGAACUAGUUUUUGGACCUGGACUACCUUGACAAAGGGAGGGACAAAAAUCCUUAGGAGAAAGGACUCUGAAACAUGUUCACAGUAAUAAAUUACACUGGUGCUCUGUCGCCAUUCACUUAGGCAGCCGUAUACUGAGGAAAAGGGAACAUCUAAAUAGUUCAAGGAUGAUUGAGUGGAGUGUGGCCUGACAUCGAUAUCAAUAGACUUGAAGGGUCAUUAUGGCUUCUCUCUGAAAAUGAGGGCUUAUAGGAUCCUAGGAUGGAGUUCUACUCACUUGCCAUGUCAUCAGCAUGCAUACAGGGCCAGCGCUGUGGUGUAGCGGGUAAAGCUGCCGCCUACAGUGCCGGCAUCCCAUAUGGACGCCAGUUCAAGUCUCAGCUGCUCCACUUCCAUUCCAGCUCUCUGCUGGGGCCUGGGAGAGCAGUAGAAGAUGGCCCAAGUCCUUGGGCCCCUGCACAUGCUCCUGGCUCCUGGCUUCGGAACAGCCCAGCUCCGGCCUUUGAGGCCAUCUGGGGAGUGAACCAGCAGAUGGAGGACCGCUCUCUCUUUCUCUGCCUCUCCUCUCUCUGUGUAACUCUGACUUUCAAAUACAAUAAAUGAAUCUUUAAAAAAAAGGUAGAAUAGAUAUUCUUAGUAAAUAUCUAUAUAAUUUUUUUGGAUUUUGUUUUUAUUCCAUAAAAAGUAAAU
This is a non-coding RNA of Oryctolagus cuniculus (rabbit), 5635 nucleotides long. The record is from RefSeq and is a predicted model, not a curated record. NCBI's taxonomy places the organism in Eukaryota, Metazoa, Chordata, Mammalia, Lagomorpha, Leporidae.